Molecule: long non-coding RNA, 1306 nt
Filed under: Sus scrofa (pig)
Lineage: Eukaryota; Metazoa; Chordata; Mammalia; Artiodactyla; Suidae
Description: lncRNA (ENSSSCG00005006206.1)
Source: RNAcentral
AAUUCCAGGCAGUGCCCAUCAUCCCAGGCUGAGGACUCCCUGAGCCAGAGCCAUCAGCUCCUAGGGGGGUAAGUAUCCCAGGGAAUUUUAUCCACUCCCUGUUGCCACUGAAAGCCACCCAACACUGGACCCUUGGCCCUAUCUCCCUCCACAGCCCUGCCCAGUGACCCCUCCUAGUGCCCCCAGCUCCUCCUGGGCCUCUCAGUUGUACCCAUGUGUUCCCCUGGAGCCCCUGGAAAGGGUAACUGUGUGUUCCAGCUCCUGGGAGCCAGUGGUGGGUACAGGGGUGGGGAAGGCUGCCCUGUACUGAGUUGGGUUGGGUGACAGAGUGGGAACGCUGAGCAGCCUGCUGGGGGCAGAGAGGCUGGCACACCAGCUGUGCCCCCACCCGCAUCCCCAGCCCAGAUGCAAGGGGUGCAUCUGAGGCGGUCUUUGUACCCCUGCAGGGGGAAAGUAGUGGCCCCAUCAUCAGCCCUGGAUCUGGGUGAAGCCAGGAGUGAUACGGAUGCAAGGCCUGAGAGCCCCAGCAUGCCUGCAGAAGAGCCCACACCAGGUUGCUUACAAGAGCUGAACCCCACCACCAGCAGUUGCUUUGGGGAACCAGGAAAUGCAGAGUUCAAGGACCUGGCCCAGAGGGAAGAGAGGGGGCAGGCAGAGCCCAUGCCCCAGAGGCCCCAUCCACCAUCACCCAGAAGCCCACAGGAGGAACAGCUUGCUCAGGGAGCCCCAGGGCCUUCAGCCCUCCCCUCCCAGGGCCUGCCGGAACCCCAGGAUUCCCCAGAGGCACAGGGCUGGAGCCUGAGUCCGGAGACAGCAGAACUUCAGAAAGUGCUAAGGACUGAGAUUCCUCAGGGUCAGAGAGGGGAGGCCCUCCAGGGGGAGGACGAAGAAGUUCCUCAGAGGAAGAGAGAGAAGACACACCAGGAUCAGAGCCGGGAGGCCACUCCGGCCCCGAGGGAAGAGGUCCCUGAAGGUCCAAGGACAGAGGCGCCUCAAGGUCAAAGCGGAAGUCGCGCUAAGUGCCGGAGAAAGGACGCCCUGCAGGAGGCCCAGGAGGAUUCUCCCAAGGGCCUUCCGUCUUUCGAGGGCCGAGGCCGUGUCCCCCAAGCCUGGGAGGUGGCUGGGGGAGAAGGGGAGGAAGGCGGCUCCCUGAGAAUUGGGGGGCACUUCUGCAGGUCUCUGGGAGAACAGAUGCCCCGGCCCGGGGGAAAGACCGCUCAGCUGAUGCCGGUUAAGACCGAUGACCAGAAAGCAGAGACCACACCGGCCGCGGGAGAGCAGGGGCCCGCCGGGGAGGGAGCGCGAG